RNAcentral lists this ribosomal RNA (492 nucleotides) under uncultured bacterium. Its description in RNAcentral is "partial 16S ribosomal RNA". It matches the Rfam family "Bacterial small subunit ribosomal RNA", at positions 29 to 507 of the family's 1533-position model. The record is from RNAcentral.
AGUGAACGCUGGCGGUAGGCCUAACACAUGCAAGUCGAACGGCAGCACAGUAAGAGCUUGCUCUUACGGGUGGCGAGUGGCGGACGGGUGAGGAAUACAUCGGAAUCUACUUUUUCGUGGGGGAUAACGUAGGGAAACUUACGCUAAUACCGCAUACGACCUACGGGUGAAGGCAGGGGAUCUUCGGACCUUGCGCGAUUGAAUGAGCCGAUGUCGGAUUAGCUAGUUGGCGGGGUAAAGGCCCACCAAGGCGACGAUCCGUAGCUGGUCUGAGAGGAUGAUCAGCCACACUGGAACUGAGACACGGUCCAGACUCCUACGGGAGGCGGCAGUGGGGAAUAUUGGACAAUGGGCGCAAGCCUGAUCCAGCCAUACCGCGUGGGUGAAGAAGGCCUUCGGGUUGUAAAGCCCUUUUGUUGGGAAAGAAAAGCAGCAGGUUAAUACCCCGCUGUUCUGACGGUACCCAAAGAAUAAGCACCGGCUAACUUCGUG